Molecule: long non-coding RNA, 510 nt
Filed under: Homo sapiens (human)
Lineage: Eukaryota; Metazoa; Chordata; Mammalia; Primates; Hominidae
Description: long non-coding RNA NONHSAT116577.2
Source: RNAcentral
GCUAGGCAGUCACCACAGGAAAGCAGAAAGGGCAUCUCUCAAGGGUUGCAUACCUUCCUGGUCCAAUAAGAAUAUGAGAGUCAAAUGCAGCUUCUACUUCUCCCAGGCAUUUCAAAUUAGUGCCUUGCUGUGUGAUAGUGAGUUCUUUGCUCAACCCCUCUGGACUCUCACCAUUUCAUCCCAUUCUUUAUUCCCCAGACCAACUCCAGGCUGAUAGGAAAAAAGAUGAAAACAGAUUCUUCAAAAGCAUGAAUAAAAAUGACAUGAAGAGCUGGGGCUUGUUACAGAAAAAUAAUCAUAAAAUGAACAAAACCUCAGAGCCCGGGUCAUCUUCUGCAGGUAAGAGUCCUGUCUCUGAAUACUAAGGGACCUCUAAGUCUACAGGUGGUCAAAAUGCUGUAUCCACCCAAUUCCACUAAAUGGAAUAAAUGAAUAAAUGAAUGAAUUCAUUUAUUCCAUUUCCUCAGUUCCUCCCCAAAUUACACCUCUGCCAGGAAACAGAGGGCGCUC